GGAUAUAGCUCAGUAGGUAGAGUGCUUGCCUUGCAUGCACAAGGCCCUGGGUUCGAUCCCCAGCACCA
RNAcentral lists this transfer RNA (68 nucleotides) under Marmota monax (woodchuck). RNAcentral describes it as "tRNA.Ala". The stretch from base 6 to 63 matches the Rfam family "tRNA", at positions 8 to 63 of the family's 71-position model. Rfam says of the family: Transfer RNA (tRNA) molecules are approximately 80 nucleotides in length. Their secondary structure includes four short double-helical elements and three loops (D, anti-codon, and T loops). Further hydrogen bonds mediate the characteristic L-shaped molecular structure. tRNAs have two regions of fundamental functional importance: the anti-codon, which is responsible for specific mRNA codon recognition, and the 3' end, to which the tRNAs corresponding amino acid is attached (by aminoacyl-tRNA synthetases). tRNAs cope with the degeneracy of the genetic code in two manners: having more than one tRNA (with a specific anti-codon) for a particular amino acid; and 'wobble' base-pairing, i.e. permitting non-standard base-pairing at the 3rd anti-codon position. The record is from RNAcentral. Lineage: Eukaryota; Metazoa; Chordata; Mammalia; Rodentia; Sciuridae.